GUCGACGAUUACGGGAGGCAGCAGUAGGGAAUCUUGCGCAAUGGGGGAAACCCUGACGCAGCAACGCCGCGUGUGGGAUGACGGCUUUCGGGUUGUAAACCACUUUCAGUGAUGACGAAAAUGACGGUAAUCACAGAAGAAGGUCCGGCCAACUACGUGCCAGCAGCCGCGGUAACACGUAGGGACCGAGCGUUGUCCGGAUUUAUUGGGCGUAAAGAGCUCGUAGGCGGUUCUGUAAGUCGGAUGUGAAAACUCAGGGCUCAACCCUGAGACGAGACGCCAUCUGAUACUGCAGUGACUAGAGUCCGGUAGAGGAAGAUGGAAUUCCUGGUGUAGCGGUGGAAUGCGCAGAUAUCAGGAGGAACACCAAUGGCGAAGGCAGUCUUCUGGGCCGGUACUGACGCUGAGGAGCGAAAGCAUGGGGAGCAAACAGGAUUAGAUACCCUGGUAGUCCAUGCCGUAAACGUUGGGCACUAGGUGUGGGGUCUUCUAACGGAUUCCGUGCCGUAGCUAACGCAUUAAGUGCCCCGCCUGGGGAGUACGG
Molecule: ribosomal RNA, 544 nt
Filed under: uncultured Actinomycetes bacterium
Lineage: Bacteria; Bacillati; Actinomycetota; Actinomycetes
Description: bacterial SSU rRNA
Rfam family: Bacterial small subunit ribosomal RNA
Source: RNAcentral